RNAcentral lists this small nucleolar RNA (123 nucleotides) under Physeter macrocephalus (sperm whale). Its description in RNAcentral is "Physeter catodon (sperm whale) Small nucleolar RNA ACA64 (ENSPCTG00005015939.1)". It matches the Rfam family "Small nucleolar RNA ACA64". The record is from Rfam by way of RNAcentral. Lineage: Eukaryota; Metazoa; Chordata; Mammalia; Artiodactyla; Physeteridae.
AGUAGUUUGGCGUUGGUUUGGUUGGCGUGCCUGUGGGUGAGAUUUGGCGCCUAGAACCACUGGGGCCUCAGCCCACCACCCAACUCCUUGAUAUGGGGAGAUGAAACCCAGGCCCCGACAUGU